This is a long non-coding RNA of Hyla sarda, 1032 nucleotides long. RefSeq lists it as uncharacterized. Lineage: Eukaryota; Metazoa; Chordata; Amphibia; Anura; Hylidae. The record is from RefSeq and is a predicted model, not a curated record. The transcript is spliced from 2 exons.
UGCGGGCGCCGCGAUUAAGCCCCGCCCCGCCUCCUCCCAGCCGUAUACGGGAACCGUAAGUACAAAACGUGGUGUGAACCCAGCCUUACUCUAACAUAAAGCUUGUGACUUCCAGAAAUACAUGGUUGGUCUGGAAGUUUAUUGCCCAGAAAGUAGAUUGUCAAGUGCCUGAUUAUACAAAAUCCUUACAGAUUAACUCAUGUCCUCAGAUCAGAUGCAGAAAUUUUGCUAAAAUAGAUUUAAGUGCUAUACAGCAUGACUGUAUAACAUAGUGAACACUGACAGCAUACAGGCAUAUGCUACUGAUCAGUGGAUGUCUUAAAAACAUUUUUGGACUUGAACAGAAUAAGAAUGUGCUCAAACUUUGGUAAAUGAUUUCUGUAACUAGUACAUAAGGUUGCCUGAAGUCAACUUGUUGCAUAAAUGUAUGCAUAUAACUAUAGAUACAUAUAUAUAUAUAUAUUUAUUUUUUAAAGGAAAAGUAAAAUAAUUUCUAUAAGGUGCUAAACCUAUACCUGCCAAACACAACUUUUUGUUCUGGAUGGAGAAGGCUUUCCAUUUGUACUAUUGCUUGACCACUGAAAUCUGAAAAUCACAUCCAAACAUCCAAUAAGUAUAAAUUACACAGUUUGGAAACUUAAACCAACCAGACUUUUUAUGAGCUCGGCAUGCAGGUCCAAUAUAUCCAUAUUUCGAAAACAUAUAGACUCAUUUGAUAUUACAAAAUACAAAAAUAGUUUAUCAGAACUUUCAUUUACAUUCCAUUUACAAUGAGUGCUUAAAUAACUUAAAGGUUAGCCUUAUCUGAUUCUUAAAAUACUUGAAAAUAAUACUAGUGCCCAAAAAGAGAGAGAAAAAAAAAAGCAUGUCGUUUGUAGUACGAGGAUGAGGGUCAAGCAGCAUACUGUACGUCUGGGUACGGCAUACAUUCAAGAAUAGAGUAUAUUCUCAAGGAGGAACAAAAGCAAGGCAGUAUUUUUUUAUUUUUUUUUGGCAGACUGAACUGGAAAUAAAGUGAAAUGUGCAAUAAAA